Molecule: long non-coding RNA, 505 nt
Organism: Colossoma macropomum (tambaqui)
Lineage: Eukaryota; Metazoa; Chordata; Actinopteri; Characiformes; Serrasalmidae
Exons: 3
Source: RefSeq, a predicted model, not a curated record
GAGGACCCGCAGGAAGGUGAAGCCCAUUAUGUCCUCGCAUGGGUUGAAGGCAUCCGGUUCCGGGUAGCAGCUCACUGCUGUCACAUCCUUACAGUGUUCCUCAAAAAAGCACAGCAGUGGCUGGGGUAUGUCAGAUUGGCCUGAGUGAGCUCGGAAAACAACUCCAGACUGGGUAACCAUCGGAGGGAGUAGACGGAGAUGGCAGUCAGCAGCUUCAGACUCUUCAGCAUGCUCUCUGAUGGGUGAGAGCCAGGUGGAGUGUGGUGGAGAUGGCGUCAUCUAUUGAGCAGUUGGGGCAAUAUGCAAAUUGCAGUGGGUCCAGUGAAGGAGGAAGCUGGUCUUUAAUGUGCCUUAUGACAAGCCUCUCAAAGCACUUCAUGGUGAUUGGAGUGAGUGCAAUGGGACGGUAGUCAUUGAGGCAGGACACUGGAGACUUCUUUGGCACAGGGAUGAUGGUGGUGGAUGCCCACUGAACAUCACUGGCUCUGCUGUGGAAAUCGUCCAG